This is a long non-coding RNA of Hibiscus syriacus, 292 nucleotides long. RefSeq lists it as uncharacterized. NCBI's taxonomy places the organism in Eukaryota, Viridiplantae, Streptophyta, Magnoliopsida, Malvales, Malvaceae. The transcript is spliced from 2 exons. The record is from RefSeq and is a predicted model, not a curated record.
GAUCGAAUAUCGCAAAAAUUAGGGUUUGGAGCGGUCUUUCCUGUCUGGAUUUCAAGCAGCUUCCAUAGAAAAUGGUUUGAGUGUCAGAGACCUGUGAAAACAGGGCUGCGCCAAGUCUAUCAUUCUACCAUUUGGCUUAGAAAGCUGGAUUUUGAUUGUUAGUUUUGCAUUGAUGUCAUUUUACUCCCAAUCACAAGAAGUAUUUCUGUAAUAGAUUUAUAUUUGGUGUUCAGUGGAUGACAAUGUGCACUUUUUGAUGAUUAAUGAAAUGAUUGUGAUUAUGUUCAGCUUA